Molecule: ribosomal RNA, 253 nt
Filed under: uncultured bacterium
Lineage: Bacteria
Description: partial 16S ribosomal RNA
Rfam family: Bacterial small subunit ribosomal RNA
Source: RNAcentral
UACGAAGGGGGCUAGCGUUGUUCGGAAUUACUGGGCGUAAAGCGCACGUAGGCGGACUAUUAAGUCAGUGGUGAAAGCCCGGAGCUCAACUCCGGAACUGCCAUUGAAACUGUGAGACUUGAGGACGAGAGAGGUGAGUGGAAUUCCCAGUGUAGAGGUGAAAUUCGUAGAUAUUGGGAAGAACACCGGUGGCGAAGGCGGCUCACUGGCUCGUUUCUGACGCUCAGGCGCGACAGCGUGGGGAUCAAACAGG